RNAcentral lists this ribosomal RNA (440 nucleotides) under uncultured bacterium. Its description in RNAcentral is "partial 16S ribosomal RNA". It matches the Rfam family "Bacterial small subunit ribosomal RNA", at positions 338 to 795 of the family's 1533-position model. The record is from RNAcentral.
CCUACGGGAGGCAGCAGUGGGGAAUAUUGCACAAUGGGGGAAACCCUGAUGCAGCGACGCCGCGUGAGUGAAGAAGUAUUUCGGUAUGUAAAGCUCUAUCAGCAGGGAAGAAAAUGACGGUACCUGAUUAAGAAGCCCCGGCUAACUACGUGCCAGCAGCCGCGGUAAUACGUAGGUGGCAAGCGUUAUCCGGAUUUACUGGGUGUAAGGGGAGCGUAGACGGCAGCACAAGUCUGGAGUGAAAUGCCGGGGCUUAACCCCGGAACUGCCUUUGAAACUGUGCAGCUAGAGUGCAGGAGAGGUAAGUGGAAUGUGUAGUGUAGCGGUGAAAUGCGUAGAUAUUAGGAGGAACACCAGUUGCGAAGGCGGCUUACUGGACUGUAACUGACGUUGAGGCUCGAAAGCGUGGGGAGCAAACAGGAUUAGAUACCCUUGUAGUC